This 76-nucleotide transfer RNA is filed under the name Asanoa ishikariensis. RNAcentral's name for it is "tRNA-Glu". It matches the Rfam family "tRNA". From Rfam's summary of the family: Transfer RNA (tRNA) molecules are approximately 80 nucleotides in length. Their secondary structure includes four short double-helical elements and three loops (D, anti-codon, and T loops). Lineage: Bacteria; Bacillati; Actinomycetota; Actinomycetes; Micromonosporales; Micromonosporaceae. The record is from RNAcentral.
GGCGCGGUGGACGAAUAGGUAGAGUCGCCCGGCUUUCACCCGGGACAUGUGCGGGUUCGAGUCCCGUCCGCGCUGC